UACGAAGGGUGCAAGCGUUACUCGGAAUUACUGGGCGUAAAGCGUGCGUAGGUGGUUCGUUAAGUCCGUUGUGAAAGCCCCGAGCUCAACUUGGGAAUUGCAGUGGAUACUGGCGAGCUGGAGUGCGGUAGAGGAAGGUGGAAUUCCCAGUGUAGAGGUGAAAUUCGUAGAUAUUGGGAAGAACACCGGUGGCGAAGGCGGCUAUCUGGACCGUAACUGACGCUGAGGCGCGAAAGCGUGGGGAGCAAACAGG
RNAcentral lists this ribosomal RNA (253 nucleotides) under uncultured bacterium. RNAcentral describes it as "partial 16S ribosomal RNA". It matches the Rfam family "Bacterial small subunit ribosomal RNA", at positions 524 to 776 of the family's 1533-position model. The record is from RNAcentral.